This 296-nucleotide ribosomal RNA is filed under the name uncultured bacterium. RNAcentral's name for it is "partial 16S ribosomal RNA". It matches the Rfam family "Bacterial small subunit ribosomal RNA", at positions 29 to 326 of the family's 1533-position model. The record is from RNAcentral.
ACGAACGCUGGCGGCGUGCUUAACACAUGCAAGUCGAGCGGUAAGGCCCUUUCGGGGGGUACACGAGCGGCGAACGGGUGAGUAACACGUGGGUGACCUGCCCUCAGCUCUGGGAUAAGCCUGGGAAACUGGGUCUAAUACUGGAUAUGACUCCACGGUGCAUGUUGUGGGGUGGAAAGCCUUGUGCGGCUGAGGAUGGGCCCGCGGCCUAUCAGCUUGUUGGUGGGGGAUGGCCUACCAAGGCGACGACGGGUAGCCGGCCUGAGAGGGCGACCGGCCACACUGGGACUGAGACA